Molecule: transfer RNA, 73 nt
Filed under: Oscillospiraceae bacterium
Lineage: Bacteria; Bacillati; Bacillota; Clostridia; Eubacteriales; Oscillospiraceae
Description: tRNA-Met
Rfam family: tRNA
About the family: Transfer RNA (tRNA) molecules are approximately 80 nucleotides in length. Their secondary structure includes four short double-helical elements and three loops (D, anti-codon, and T loops).
Source: RNAcentral
UGCGGGGUAGAGCAGUUGGAAGCUCGCCAGCCUCAUAAGCUGGAGGUCGCCGGUUCAAGUCCGGCCCCUGCUA